Molecule: long non-coding RNA, 468 nt
Filed under: Mytilus galloprovincialis (Mediterranean mussel)
Lineage: Eukaryota; Metazoa; Mollusca; Bivalvia; Mytilida; Mytilidae
Source: RNAcentral
UUCUUUUACAAUCCGGAAAAAUCUAUAUUUCGAAAUAUUCUAAACAUAUCCAACCUAUUAUAUUGUAAUGACGUCAGUGUUGGAAUUCCACACUACGUAGAAGCAGGAAUAUCCUUUACUGAUUAUUAAAAUCAUUCUCAGAAUUCAUGCACUUAUCUGUAAUUGUUUACAAUAAACAUAAUUAUGUUUGCUGUAGAUGAUUCAAACAUCAACAUGAUGCAAUGAUUUAAUUUCUAGGUCAACUUGCAAUUUAUAUAAUUACUAGGAUACAUGAGAUUGGGGAGAGAAACAACAGUUUUCAUUCUUUCUGUAAAAGUCUGUUUUGAGAAUCUUCCUCCAAUACAAGAGCACCUCAAUUGAUGAGUAAUUAUCCUCUAAAAAUAAAAGUUAAUGUAUCUGAACACUUAAAAUGUGACAUUUAGUAUGUGAUAAUUAGUCUUCCAUUUAAACCAAAUUUUGUGUACCAAC